Long non-coding RNA from Pocillopora damicornis (cauliflower coral), 320 nucleotides. NCBI's taxonomy places the organism in Eukaryota, Metazoa, Cnidaria, Anthozoa, Scleractinia, Pocilloporidae. The record is from RefSeq and is a predicted model, not a curated record.
GUUUUACCCCCUUUUGUAGAAAUUCCAUUGCUUCCUCGUCAAAGCAGUUUCUUCGCGGAAUAGGAUCCACUGGAAAUGGAUACACGCCACGGAACUUAGGCGGCUCAUUCACGUGGAAAUGAGCUACAGUCACUGAAGAGGACACUUUCUUCCGAUCCUGAAGUUUCCUCUUGAAAAGUGGUUUCACUACAUUUAUAGCAAGAGACAUAGACGCUCAGAGCCAAAAUGUGAUGUACAGGGAAUACUUGUAGGUGGAAGUUUUCAUGGGACCACAUGAAGUUUCUUCAGACGCACUCGUGAAACUCAAGAGAAAUGCAAGU